UACGAAGGGGGCUAGCGUUGUUCGGAAUUACUGGGCGUAAAGCGCAUGUAGGCGGAUAUUUAAGUCAGGGGUGAAAUCCCGCAGCUCAACUGCGGAACUGCCUUUGAUACUGGAUGUCUUGAGUGUGAGAGAGGUAUGUGGAACUCCGAGUGUAGAGGUGAAAUUCGUAGAUAUUCGGAGGAACACCAGUGGCGAAGGCGGCUCACUGGUCCAUUACUGACGCUGAGGUGCGAAAGCGUGGGGAGCAAACAGG
RNAcentral lists this ribosomal RNA (253 nucleotides) under uncultured bacterium. RNAcentral's name for it is "partial 16S ribosomal RNA". It matches the Rfam family "Bacterial small subunit ribosomal RNA", at positions 524 to 776 of the family's 1533-position model. The record is from RNAcentral.